UACAGAGGUCUCAAGCGUUGUUCGGAUUCAUUGGGCGUAAAGGGUGCGUAGGUGGCGCCGUAAGUCAGGUGUGAAAUUUCGGAGCUUAACUCCGAAACUGCAUUUGAUACUGCGGUGCUUGAGGACUGGAGAGGAGACUGGAAUUUACGGUGUAGCAGUGAAAUGCGUAGAGAUCGUAAGGAAGACCAGUGGCGAAGGCGGGGCUCUGGACAGUUCCUGACACUGAGGCACGAAGGCCAGGGGAGCAAACGGG
RNAcentral lists this ribosomal RNA (253 nucleotides) under uncultured bacterium. RNAcentral's name for it is "partial 16S ribosomal RNA". It matches the Rfam family "Bacterial small subunit ribosomal RNA", at positions 524 to 776 of the family's 1533-position model. The record is from RNAcentral.